RNAcentral lists this non-coding RNA (1248 nucleotides) under Lederbergia galactosidilytica. RNAcentral describes it as "bacterial LSU rRNA". It matches the Rfam family "Bacterial large subunit ribosomal RNA", at positions 350 to 1567 of the family's 2925-position model. Lineage: Bacteria; Bacillati; Bacillota; Bacilli; Caryophanales; Bacillaceae. The record is from RNAcentral.
GCCUGCCAGAGAAGGUAACAGCCCUGUAAUUGAAACUUCGUUCCCUCCUUCCCUCCCGAGUGGAUCGGCGGGACACGUGAAAUCCCGUCGGAAGCUGGGAGGACCAUCUCCCCAUCUCCCAAGGCUAAAUACUCCCUAGUGACCGAUAGUGAACCAGUACCGUGAGGGAAAGGUGAAAAGCACCCCGGAAGGGGAGUGAAAUAGACCCUGAAACCGUGUGCCUACAAGUAGUCAAAGCACAAUUAUGUGUGAUGGCGUGCCUUUUGUAGAAUGAACCGGCGAGUUGCGAUUUCAUGCAAGGUUAAGUUGAAGAGACGGAGCCGUAGCGAAAAAGCGAGUCUGAAUAGGGCGUAUAAGUAUGAGGUCGCCAGACCCGAAACCAGGUGAUCUACCCAUGUCCAGGGUGAAGGUAAGGUAACACUUACUGGAGGCCCGCCGAACCCACGUACGUUGAAAAGUGCGGGGAUGAGGUGUGGGUAGCGGUGAAAUUCCAAUCGAACCUGGAGAUAGCUGGUUCUCUCCGAAAUAGCUUUAGGGCUAGCCUUGAAGUAGAGUCUUGGAGGUAGAAGCACUGUUUGGACGAGGGGCCCUCACCCCGGGUUACCGAAUUCAGACAAACUCCGAAUGCCAAAGACUUGUUCUUCAGGAGUCAGACUGCGAGUGAUAAGAUCCGUAGUCGAGAGGGAAACAGCCCAGACCGCCAGUUAAGGUCCCCAAGUAUCCGUUAAGUGGAAAAGGAUGUGGAGUUUGCUUAGACAACCAGGAUGUUGGCUUAGAAGCAGCCACCAUUGAAAGAGUGCGUAAUAGCUCACUGGUCGAGUGACUCUGCGCCGCGAAAAUGUACCGGGGCUAAACACGGAUCACCGAAACUGCGGAUUGACACCAUCGGUGUCAGUGGUAGGAGAGCGUUCCAAGGGCUGUGAAGCUAGACCGUAAGGACUAGUGGAGCGCUUGGAAGUGAGAAUGCCGGUAUGAGUAGCGAAAGAAGGGUGAGAAUCCCUUCCACCGAAUGCCUAAGGUUUCCUGAGGAAGGCUCGUCCGCUCAGGGUUAGUCGGGACCUAAGCCGAGGCUGAAAAGCGUAGGCGAUGGAUAACAGGUCGAUAUUCCUUCCUGUACCACCUCCCCGCCGUUUGAGUAAUGGGGGGGGGACGCAGGAGGAUAGGGUAAGCACAGUUUUGGAUUACUGUGUCCAAGCCGUUAGGCUGAAGAGGGGAGGCAAAUCCUUCUCUUUAAAGCGGAGCGGUUAU